GGCCUCGUAGCUCAGGGGAUAGAGCAGCAGCCUUCUAAGCUGUUGGUCGCAGGUUCGAAUCCUGCCGAGGUCACCA
RNAcentral lists this transfer RNA (76 nucleotides) under Devosia sp. RNAcentral describes it as "tRNA-Arg". It matches the Rfam family "tRNA". From Rfam's summary of the family: Transfer RNA (tRNA) molecules are approximately 80 nucleotides in length. Their secondary structure includes four short double-helical elements and three loops (D, anti-codon, and T loops). The record is from RNAcentral. RNAcentral also lists the same sequence under 2 other names. Lineage: Bacteria; Pseudomonadati; Pseudomonadota; Alphaproteobacteria; Hyphomicrobiales; Devosiaceae.